CGGGACGGGUGAGUAAUGUCUGGGAAACUGCCCGAUGGAGGGGGAUAACUACUGGAAACGGUAGCUAAUACCGCAUAACGUCGCAAGACCAAAGAGGGGACCUUAGGGCCUCUUGCCAUCGGAUGUGCCCAGAUGGGAUUAGCUAGUAGGUGGGGUAAUGGCUCACCUAGGCGACGAUCCCUAGCUGGUCUGAGAGGAUGACCAGCCACACUGGAACUGAGACACGGUCCAG
Molecule: ribosomal RNA, 232 nt
Filed under: uncultured bacterium
Lineage: Bacteria
Description: partial 16S ribosomal RNA
Rfam family: Bacterial small subunit ribosomal RNA
Source: RNAcentral